This 497-nucleotide ribosomal RNA is filed under the name uncultured bacterium. RNAcentral describes it as "partial 16S ribosomal RNA". It matches the Rfam family "Bacterial small subunit ribosomal RNA", at positions 28 to 507 of the family's 1533-position model. The record is from RNAcentral.
GAUGAACGCUGGCGGCGUGCCUAAUACAUGCAAGUCGAGCGAACAGAUGAGGAGCUUGCUCCUCUGACGUUAGCGGCGGACGGGUGAGUAACACGUGGAUAACCUACCUAUAAGACUGGGAUAACUUCGGGAAACCGGAGCUAAUACCGGAUAAUAUAUUGAACCGCAUGGUUCAAUAGUGAAAGACGGUUUUGCUGUCACUUAUAGAUGGAUCCGCGCCGCAUUAGCUAGUUGGUAAGGUAACGGCUUACCAAGGCAACGAUGCGUAGCCGACCUGAGAGGGUGAUCGGCCACACUGGAACUGAGACACGGUCCAGCCUCCUACGGGAGGCAGCAGUAGGGAAUCUUCCGCAAUGGGCGAAAGCCUGACGGAGCAACGCCGCGUGAGUGAUGAAGGUCUUCGGAUCGUAAAACUCUGUUAUUGGGGAAGAACAAAUGUGUAAGUAACUAUGCACGUCUUGACGGUACCUAAUCAGAAAGCCACGGCUAACUACGUG